GGUAGACUGCAUAUUCCAUCUCUUUUGUACAAUGGAAGAAUAAACAAUUCCCUGAGUAAGUGUGUGCUGCAAGUCCAUUACUUCACUUAAUUUCCUGGAGAAAAGAGGAAAGGAAAGCCUUCUGUGGUACAGCAGAUGAAGUUUGUCUGGAAGUCCCUGUCUCUGCAGAGUGGGACUGCAAUAUUUAAGAAGAAAAAAUUAAUCAUCAGGCCAUCAUGUUCAUCCUCCAUCAAGAAGAGAGAAAAAUUUUCUUUGAAACUCAAGGAAAAUUUUCUGCAAGCCUUGACUGCCCUUUCUCACAAGAGCAAACUGUAGUGAAGCAAUCCAAAGCCAACAAGAUUUAUGGCAGAAACAAUCUCCUGAUUUUAGAUACCAGCUCCGUAAGCCAUCCAGCCUUCCUCAGAAGCCACAAGGAAAGGGAAAGGGGGAACUGAGACUUCAAUCCUGAACCUGAACCACUGAAAGGAGAACAAAAGGACUCUGACAGGAGAUUUCUUACCUACAAGCCUCAUGAAAGCAAGUGAGCUGCUACUGCCAAGUAGUCCCUGGCCACCUAAAUCUGCUUCAUUACUGGUUAGUCAAAUGGAAAGAAAACUUUUUUCUUUUCUCUGCAUCAAAAUAUUUUGAAAUAACAAUAACAAAAUAAUAGUUAUAUUAAUUUCAGAAUAUUUUGAAUCACCCAGUCUUGAGAGGAUAUCUGGCAUAUCCUAAGGGAAAUGUCACUGUACUGGAGAUCUAGGGACAUGGACCAUUCAUUUCCUCUAACUUUUCAAGAGCAUGAGUCUUUCUCUAGCUCUCGUUGAGAGCUUUGAUGGAGUUGGAAAGAUAGUCUGUUGUAGAACAUUUUCUUAUUUCAGCCUUUAGCAGAAAAUUACACAGUAUUGCAUGUGGUAAUUUAUUUUUAGGAAUCAAGAUGUCCAUAUCAGACUGUUCAAAGACACUGACUAUUUCAGAAUAAGCAGAUGCUGGAUGAAUGUUUUUAUGGUUUGCAUAUACACACCAAACUCUUAAAUGUAGAUAUCUACAAACCAGAAUACCUUUGCUUAUAAAACAGCUCCAGUUUGCAUCACUGCAGACUAACAAAUACAGCAUUGAGGAGAUAAUAAUAACAGUUAUAUAUUUAUAUAACUGUAAAUACCAGCAUGGAGCAGAAACACACUAAUGCACUUUGUCUGGUAUAUUAGUGAGUAUUUGACCUCUUUCCCUUAGGCCCCAGUUUCUGAAAUAGCAUGGAAAUCAAUUUUUCUACUUAACAAAUUCCCCUCACUAUUGCUAAAAAUUACUUACCAACAGGUCCAAAUCACUAAUUCUUUUUAUAAUCAGCCCCUCAAUUAUGUGGAGAUAAAGGCACAGCCCAUCAAGCUCCAGGUAACUACAGGUGCUGAGUGCCAUCAUGAGCUUGCUUUGGAAAGUGCCUGUCCUCUGCACCCAGGAGCUGGGGAUCAGCAGGCUGUGCCAAAACAAAUCCUCAUACAUUCCCUCUUCCUUCAAUAGACACAUCUGCUUUUCUCUUGACUCUGAUUACUGGGAAUGGACUGCUGAAAGCCCCCACACAGUCAGGUAGUUUCAAUUCCUUUUCUAAGCAGUGUGUGUGGAUGUUGUGUGCAACAGGGGUAAGCACUUUUUAGUCAUAGCCUGCCUUGCUGAGGGCUUUGGAGGUAUAUCCAGAGCCAUACUUGGACACAAAUCUCUAGACUUAAACUGUGUGUAAGCUGCACGGUAAAUGCAUCCCAGGAAGUGAUUUAGCACAGAAAAUUGCAUAUUGGAUCAUUUUGCCUUUUCUAAAGACACUGUGGAUAGCUGGGGACACUAGUAAAAAUCCUUUAUGUGAGGAUCUCCUGGCCCUGUGUGCACUGUUGUGGAGGUUGGCAUUUCUCCAGGAUUUCCCAGAUCCAGCACUUGAAAAUAAAAAUUAUGCAAGAUAUUGACAAUAAAAAAGUGCAUAUUUUUUGUUCAAGAGGGCUUCCUGUCAAUUGCAAUGAAUCUCCAGACAUUGUUUGAAAUUUGCAGUUCCCCAAUUUUCAGCUUGGAAAGGAUAAAGUCCCCAGUCUGCUUGUAAAUGACUCAUUUCCUGAGUGCCACACAAACCCAGCUAGUUAGAGGUGAUUUCUCUGUGCAUGGCAAAUGAAAGGCUCUGGAAAAACUGAAAUUCAGAAGUUGUUAGGAUCUGGAGCUCUUGUUAGAGCUAGACCUAAUCAUAAGAUAAUAGUAUUGUAUCUAUACUAAUCAUGAAUCAUGAUCAAGUUUUAGCUGGACCUCCCCUUAGUGAUAGGAGUGGCAGUAUAAUCUAAUGACACACAUGGAAGGCCUUCAAAGGAAUGAUAUUGACUUGGUCCUUUGACAGAUGGAGAAAAGGAGGUAAAUGCAGAGCAUUUACCUGCAGAGCAGGUAAAUUAAUUGCCCCAAAAGCCUGAGGGAAGAGUCAGUUUCAGACAAAUUCCUGCAAGUACUUUUGGUCUCUUAUAAUACAUGUGAAGGCAUUUCUAAUGCUCCUGAGGAAAAGAGGAAUGAACUUGUCUUUAACCUCUGUGCAUGACAGCUCAUCUUUAAAAAUGUGGGUGUCUUCAUUAUGACCAACAAGAUGGAGGCAGCCCCUUGUGCCAGUCUGCCCUGGAGAGUGAGACACACAGACAUGUUACAGACACUCAUUUCCUGCCUUAGGCAACUUUACUCUUUCACUUAGAAGAGUCAGGAAAAAACCACAGAGUUGCUCUGCAGUGAGGUGAGUGAAAUUGCUGGAGACCCUGGAGUACAAAGGUUAUUAAGGAAACAAAGGUGCCUACUAUAAAUCUAUGCACGGAUAAUCCUCUUUACUCCCAAAUAUACAAUAAGAAAUAUCCUAAGAAUAUAAACAGAGAGGUUUUUUUUUUUAAUGUUGGCUUGUUUUGUUUACCUACUUUGUUUCUGAUAUGUUAUAUA
Long non-coding RNA from Melospiza melodia melodia, 2919 nucleotides. RefSeq lists it as uncharacterized. The record is from RefSeq and is a predicted model, not a curated record. The transcript has 3 exons. Lineage: Eukaryota; Metazoa; Chordata; Aves; Passeriformes; Passerellidae.